CAGCCGCCACGGUAAGACAGAGGAUGCAAGCGUUAUCCGGAAUGAUUGGGCGUAAAGCGUGCGUAGGCGGCUUCUUAAGUCGGAUGUGAAAUCCCUGAGCUUAACUUAGGAAUUGCAUUCGAUACUGGGAAGCUAGAGUAUGGGAGAGGAUGGUAGAAUUCCAGGUGUAGCGGUGAAAUGCGUAGAGAUCUGGAGGAAUACCGAUGGCGAAGGCAGCCAUCUGGCCUAAUACUGACGCUGAGGUACGAAAGCAUGGGGAGCAAACAGGAUUAGAUACCCCAGUAGUCCCUGUCUCUUAUAC
RNAcentral lists this ribosomal RNA (301 nucleotides) under uncultured bacterium. RNAcentral describes it as "partial 16S ribosomal RNA". It matches the Rfam family "Bacterial small subunit ribosomal RNA", at positions 509 to 807 of the family's 1533-position model. The record is from RNAcentral.